Oreochromis niloticus (Nile tilapia) is the source of this 533-nucleotide long non-coding RNA. RefSeq lists it as uncharacterized. NCBI's taxonomy places the organism in Eukaryota, Metazoa, Chordata, Actinopteri, Cichliformes, Cichlidae. The transcript is spliced from 3 exons. The record is from RefSeq and is a predicted model, not a curated record.
UUUUUACCUUCGGUGGAUUUUUCACAUGUUAUAGUUUGUUUGUUUUUUCAUUUAAAUUCAGCGACUGCUGCCAGUCCAUAUUUGUGAUCGUUCAUAUGAUACCAACACCCCCUUUUAAUCUGAACAUGAUCACAGCUAGAAACCCUAGAUUCAUGUGGCCACUCCUGGCUUUGUUACACCAGAAUAGAACAGCAACCUGUUUGCAGCUAGGAAAAAUUGAUGGUUGAUUACAAUUAAUUUCUUCACAUUCAGGAACCAGCUGCAAGUAGUUGCAGGGAUUCCUUUCAGUCUCAAGGUGAUUGUACACAUCAGCUGGUGGGAGGCAACCUGUCUCCAAACUAUCAUGGGGCAACCUGAAUGCAAUCUCGUUUGGACAAAGACUGGCAAAGGUAAAAGGUUGCUGGUUUAAUUCCAGGAGGAGAUAUAAAUCCCUUUUAGGAUGAUGGCAGGAAGAGUAACCUGAGUACCCUGUACCCUGAGCAAAGGAAACAGGUUGUCGUGAAAGAGAAGCCUGCACUGCUAAGAGGGGAAAC